RNAcentral lists this ribosomal RNA (742 nucleotides) under uncultured bacterium. Its description in RNAcentral is "bacterial SSU rRNA". It matches the Rfam family "Bacterial small subunit ribosomal RNA", at positions 598 to 1327 of the family's 1533-position model. The record is from RNAcentral.
AAGACCGGGGCUCAACCUCGGAAAUGCAUUGGAUACUGGCAGACUGGAGUGCAGUAGAGGCUAGUGGAAUUCCCAGUGUAGCGGUGAAAUGCGUAGAUAUUGGGAAGAACACCGGUGGCGUAGGCGACUAGCUGGGCUGUAACUGACGCUGAGGAACGAAAGCCAGGGGAGCAAAUGGGAUUAGAUACCCCAGUAGUCCUGGCCGUAAAGCGAUGGAUACUAGGCGUAGUGGGUAUCGACCCCUGCAGUGCCGCAGCUAACGCGAUAAGUAUCCCGCAUGACUAGUACUGGCCGCAAUGGUUGAAAUCUCAAAGGAACUUGACCGGGGGCCCGCACAAAGCGGUGGAACAUGUGGUUUAAUUCGAAGCAACGCGAAGAACCUUACCAGGGCUUGACAUCUGUGGAAUCUUUCGGAAACGAGAGAGUGCUCGCAAGAGAGCCACAAGAUCAGGUGGUGCAUGGCUGUCGUCAGCUCGUGUCGUGAGAUGCUUGGGUUAAGUCCCGCAACGAGCGCAACCCCCGUUGUUAGUUGCCAUCAGGUAAAGCUGGGCACUCUAGCGAGACUGCCGGUGACAAACACGGAGGAAGGUGGGGACGACGUCAAGUCAUCAUGCCCUUUAUGCCCUGGGCUACACACGUGUUACAAUGGCCGGGACAAUGUGAUGCAAACUCGCGAGAGUGAGCGAAUCACCAAACCCGGUCUCAGUUCGGAUCGCAGGCUGCAACUCGCCUGCGUGAAGUC